UAGAACGCUGAAGCUUGGUGCUUGCACCGAGCGGAUGAGUUGCGAACGGGUGAGUAACGCGUAGGUAACCUGCCUCUUAGCGGGGGAUAACUAUUGGAAACGAUAGCUAAUACCGCAUAAAAGUCGAUAUCGCAUGAUAUUGAUUUGAAAGGUGCAAUUGCAUCACUAAGAGAUGGACCUGCGUUGUAUUAGCUAGUUGGUGAGGUAACGGCUCACCAAGGCGACGAUACAUAGCCGACCUGAGAGGGUGAUCGGCCACACUGGGACUGAGACACGGCCCAGACUCCUACGGGAGGCAGCAGUAGGGAAUCUUCGGCAAUGGGGGCAACCCUGACCGAGCAACGCCGCGUGAGUGAAGAAGGUUUUCGGAUCGUAAAGCUCUGUUGUAAGAGAAGAACGAGUGUGAGAGUGGAAAGUUCACACUGUGACGGUAACUUACCAGAAAGGGACGGCUAACUACGUGCCAGCAGCCGCGGUAAUACGUAGGUCCCGAGCGUUAUCCGGAUUUAUUGGGCGUAAAGCGAGCGCAGGCGGUUAGAUAAGUCUGAAGUUAAAGGCUGUGGCUUAACCAUAGUACGCUUUGGAAACUGUUUAACUUGAGUGCAGAAGGGGAGAGUGGAAUUCCAUGUGUAGCGGUGAAAUGCGUAGAUAUAUGGAGGAACACCGGUGGCGAAAGCGGCUCUCUGGUCUGUAACUGACGCUGAGGCUCGAAAGCGCGGGGAGCAAACAGGAUUAGAUACCCUGGUAGUCCACGCCGUAAACGAUGAGUGCUAGGUGUUGGGUCCUUUCCCGGGACUCAGUGCCGCAGCUAACGCAUUAAGCACUCCGCC
RNAcentral lists this ribosomal RNA (830 nucleotides) under uncultured Streptococcus sp. Its description in RNAcentral is "bacterial SSU rRNA". It matches the Rfam family "Bacterial small subunit ribosomal RNA", at positions 62 to 873 of the family's 1533-position model. Lineage: Bacteria; Bacillati; Bacillota; Bacilli; Lactobacillales; Streptococcaceae. The record is from RNAcentral.